Molecule: long non-coding RNA, 1908 nt
Organism: Fukomys damarensis (Damara mole-rat)
Lineage: Eukaryota; Metazoa; Chordata; Mammalia; Rodentia; Bathyergidae
Source: Ensembl
GGGAGGGGGGGGAGAGAGAGAGGACAAACCAGUCAUGUACAAUCCAUCAAUGGUAUACUGCAUAUACAGUGGUGGUCCCAUAAGAUUAUAAUGGGUCUGAAAGAUUCCAAUCGCCAGUGACAUCAUAGGACAAUACUUAGCACUUGAUGCUGAUAAUAAUGACUACAGUUCUGAUUUGUGCAUUUACUCUACUGUUAUGGUUUAUGUCUAGAUGUUUCCCCAAGCCUCAUGGGCCCAUAGGUGAGGCUUUUGGGGAGGUGAUUGGAUCAAUGGGCUAUAAUACUAAUCAGUGGAUUGGCUCACUGAUGGUUUAUAGCUAACUGAUUUAGUAAGUAAAGCCUGGUUAGAGGAGGUGGUCACAGAGGGGGUGUGUGUGACCUGGAAGGAUCUACUUCCCUCCUCCUCCCUUGAUCUCUCUCUGCCUCCUGCUGCCCUGCCAUGGACUGCUUCUCCUCUGCCACCACCCUGCCUUGGAGCCAGCUGACUAUGAACUGAAACCUCUACAAACUAUGAGCUAAAUGAACCUCUCUGCCUUUAAGUUGUGAGUGUUGUAUAUGUGUCUCAGCGAUGAGGGAGAGAAUAGCUAAGAUCUAUACUUUUAGUCAUUAUUAUAUAUAUAAUCUCCUCAGGCAAAUUCUUCAGGAAGAUCCCAGAAAGAGGCCUGUUACCACAGGAGGUGACAGCUCUGCCCAUGCCCCUGCCCCUGCAGACUUUCCAAGAGACAAGAUGUGGAGGCAGAAGAUGGUGAUGUGCACGGUCCUCCCUCUGGUUGUCCCUCUGCCUGCACCCACCUGUCCUGUGUUCCACCACGUGUGCCCUGCUGUCUCCACUGCACCCACUUCUCUGGUCACUGCCACCUCCUAUACUGUCACCUGGGGAAGCUGCUGGUGUCAGCUUCACACGGGACGCUGCCCUGCUGUCCCUACUGGCAAUAAGACAUGUGCAGUUGUCCCGGAGGGACGGCCUCUGUUUCCCUGGUGUCCAGCUGUGUCUGUCUUGUCUACAUUUGUGCAUUAGGUAAGGUUCUCUAGAAGAACAAGAGCAAUAGAAAAAUGUAUGUGUGGUUACAGAUGCUGUACAUGAGGCAGGCUCACAGGAUCAGAGGGAGGCUGUGCUAGAGAGCAGAGGCUGCAGCAGCCCAGUCCAAGAUGAUGGAAACGGUAGGGCAAGAGGGCUGGAGGAUGCAGCACCAGCUCAGGUCCACGGCCCGGGGACCCCCUGAGAGUCUGCAUUGGAAGGGAAAGAAACUGGACAUGGAUGUCCACAGGCCACAGCAAAGACAAGGGCUCCUCCAAACGGGGACACUCCUGCUUUCCCUGUUAUUCCAUCCAGGCUGCAGGCCACCCUCUUCCAGGGUGGAUCUUAAGCCCCACUCUGCUGGCUGACAUCACAGAUACACCCAGAACAUGCUCCACUGCGCUAACCAUUCAAGCUGACAUUUCCCGAUCCACAGUCUGAGUUAGCUUAUCUGAGGAUCCAUCAGGCUAGCUCAAAAGACUGAAGAAGGACGCUGUACCACAUCUCUCCCUGCCCACCAUCAACCUGUGUCCAGGUAAUAUGAAGGUCAAAGCAGCCCUCAUCUCAGGAUGUCUUGGUUAAUUUUCUCCUUGCUGAAGCAAAACACCUGACACCCAAAGGUAAAGGAGGAAAGCUUUAUUUGGCUCACAGUUUGUAGAGGUUUCCAUCCAAGGCAGGGUGGUACUGCAGAAGAGAAACAGUUUGUGGCAGGCAGAAGGCAGCAAAGCAAGCAAGAGUGGACCACAGCUCUUUCUAGCCCUUAUCUUAUCCAGGCUGCUCAAGGUGAGUAGCACUCACACCCCUAAUCCUAGAGCCCUUGGUCUUAAACUGCACCAUGAAUCAAUCCCAGCAUCACACACUCUGGGUCCAGACACCUCUAAAAAAGCCCCA